Long non-coding RNA from Mercenaria mercenaria, 2014 nucleotides. RefSeq lists it as uncharacterized. The transcript is spliced from 5 exons. Lineage: Eukaryota; Metazoa; Mollusca; Bivalvia; Venerida; Veneridae. The record is from RefSeq and is a predicted model, not a curated record.
AAAGGGUUUGUAUAUUUACUUUUCUUUUGAUGUGUAGUUUGUAUAAAGGUAAUACUAAGAUUAUAUAUGUUUGUUUCUGUUCUUACACAUGCAUUCCUCUAUCUAUACACUAAACAGGGUUACCAUGGAAACGUACCUCUUCAUCUAGGCAAUGGUAUAAACUGAUGACCGGCGUUCAAGUCCCUGGCAAAGAGAAAUCCAGCUGUCGAUCAAGCGCUACAGGUUUAGCUUUAGAUAAUCUAAGCCUUGCUAAGACCUGAAAAUAAAUGUCAGGCAAAACUGAAACAAAAGCAAAAUAACUGGAUGCACUUAAAGAGCACCUAAUCUAUCUUGUAUAUUUUCGCUUCGUAAUACUGUAUGUUUAGUGUAUGCUGUUUUGUCAGGGAUCUGUUUGCAGUGGCUACUUGGUUGUUUUUGUGGUGGUGUUUGUUGUGGUGUUUUUGUGUAUAUGGAGGUGUCUGUGGUGGUUUCAAUGUGGUCUUCUCGGUUUUAUUCUUGAUGGUUGUAUUGUUUUGUUGAAAACGGGCAUUUGGUGCGUUUUGUUUGUUGUAUUGGGCUGUUCGUCAUGGUGUUUUUUCUUUCUGCCAUUACCAAUGUAUUAUUAGUCGCUUUGUAUACAGUAGAAAAUUAUUAGAAUAAGUUCAAUAUUAUAUUGUGUUAUAACUUUACUUGUCCAGCAAACUUUAGAUACCCGGAAACACAUAUGAAGAUAUAUGCGGACGAUUAGGCAUCAUGUGCAGACGAAGGCUUGGACUGGGAAGCGUGCGCCGUUGUUUUAUUUCUGCUUUUUAUUCCUUUUGUUUUGCAUUGCUUUUCCACUAGGCUAUUGGGGCACUUGAAGAACGAAGACGCAGACGGAUAUUGAAGAUGCAUACCAGGCAAAAUUUGGGUUACUGUUUAUCACGAACAGGUGCGUAUGUUGCUUUUUAUAUUAUUCUAUUUUGUAUGCAUCUCUUCGCAGAAUUUUCAAGUUGAAUACAAGCCAGUGUAAAGAUGUCUUAUUGUAGAUGACACAAUGGUCUAGUGGAUGGUGAAGAUAGCGCGGCUGAUGUUGACUGUACAGACACGCGUUAAGAUGUCAUGCUGUAGAUGUGACAAUGGUUUUGUGGACGACGCAGCUUGGUUCUUCUUUUUGGACGCACUGAGGAAGCAGAGGUCAAUUUUCCACUUGGAGUAAUUCAGUAGCAUGGCAAUGUGGACACAGAUCCUGGUUUUGGUAAAAGAAGUACUCGAAAUAUCCGACGAAAAGCAAUUUCUUGGAUUAUACACGAAGAAAAUGUUAGUUAAUGGAACAAUAGCAGCAGUAGAACUACCUUGCUGGUACCCAAACGAAGCCGGUCAUCAGAUGUGCAUUGAAACCCUAUCAAACCCUUGCUUUACCAUGGUAAUCAGCCGUUAUCAACAAGGCAAGGUAGUGCAUGGAUAUAGUGGAAUUCAAGCCUUGGUGGACCUUUCUUCUGUAUUUGUCCAGUCUUGUUGAUGGUAGACAGCUGUUCUAUACAUCGUACACAACAGAGAAACCCCCUCGGACGAAGAAUUCGUUCAGAUCUAAAAGGCAAGAAGACAGUUUUUGCCAUUAUUGAAAGACAUAGGGGAAAAAAGCAAUGACAGAAAACAAAUAUCACCAUACCGUCUUGUCUUGAAUGUUUCCAACAGCUGACAGACCGAUGUAAGCCAGGUAAUACCUUUCAGAAUUAUUGGUUGAUAUUUGACUCUGUCUGUAAGCAGUUAUGCCUCCAAUAUGUAGUGGAGAGACAUACUGUUUUAGUGCUGUCCGUCCGUCCGUGUGUAUGUCCGUCGGUCUGUCACAAAGUUUAUCCACGCAACUCUUUCGACACCACUGAAUGGAUUUACACCAAAUUUCGCAAGAGCGAUCAUUGCGUGGCCUAAUUGUGCAUAUCAUCGGCAGUUUUUGGUUCGAUGAUUUCUUGUGGAAUCAUGACCCUUGAUUCGCCAACUGUUUUGAUGUUUUAGCCUCUUCUCUUUUUUGAUUUGGCGGAUUUCCACCAAACCG